RNAcentral lists this transfer RNA (78 nucleotides) under Pyrrosia lingua. Its description in RNAcentral is "tRNA-Leu". It matches the Rfam family "tRNA". Rfam says of the family: Transfer RNA (tRNA) molecules are approximately 80 nucleotides in length. Their secondary structure includes four short double-helical elements and three loops (D, anti-codon, and T loops). The record is from RNAcentral. Lineage: Eukaryota; Viridiplantae; Streptophyta; Polypodiopsida; Polypodiales; Polypodiaceae. RNAcentral also lists the same sequence under 5 other names.
GCCGCUAUGGUGAAACAGGUAGACACGCUGCUCUUAGGAAGCAGUGCCAGAGCAUCUCGGUUCGAAUCCGAGUAGCGG